This 583-nucleotide long non-coding RNA is filed under the name Vulpes vulpes (red fox). RNAcentral describes it as "lncRNA (ENSVVUG00000006074.1)". Lineage: Eukaryota; Metazoa; Chordata; Mammalia; Carnivora; Canidae. The record is from RNAcentral.
CCCACUCUGUCUUUAUUCUCAGGAGUGCUGAACUCACAAUUCUCCAUCAUCAUCAUCAUCAUCAUCAUAGUCUUCAGAGUUGAAACCUCACCUGUUUCUCCAGGUAUAACCUUCAUUAUCCUAACACUGAUCCUGAUAAUACACAACUCCAGCGGUUACUGCCUCCCCAGCUCAGCUAACCUGCUCUGGAACUCUGUUCUCCAUGUCAUGCUCUGUCCUGGCCCACUCCAACCUGGAAGCAGACAGUGCCUAUCUCUAGACAGACGGCUGAGAACAUGAUCUUCCAAAGAGCCUCUAACCCUCAGUCCCAAGGACUUGUUGAGAGAGCAAUUACCUGGCUGAAUUUCAACCUGACUCUGAAUCGGGAGGGAGCAUCUACUUUGCCCUGGCUGAAUAUAUUCUAUUUCCAGAAGACCAUUUACACCCAGAGCAGCCCAGUGGUGUGUGUCCUGGCUGAUAAAGAAUUGAACCAUCAGGGGAUGUCGGACAAAAUUCCAGUAAGGAAGGAGCUUGAGGUGAGUGAGCUUUUUCCUCAAGACAGAGGACCGGUGGGAAAUCAAGUAGUUGCAUAGUUAGACUGCUG